Molecule: ribosomal RNA, 478 nt
Filed under: uncultured bacterium
Lineage: Bacteria
Description: SSU rRNA
Rfam family: Bacterial small subunit ribosomal RNA
Source: RNAcentral
AGGAUGAACGCUGGCGGCGUGCCUAACACAUGCAAGUCGAACGUCCUGUCUCGCAAGAGGCAGGGAGUGGCGGACGGGUGAGUACCACGUGGGUUAUCUACCGUGAGGUGAGGAAUACCGGCGAGAAAUCGCCGACAAGACCGCAUAGCCUCGGUGCAAGCCGAGGAAAGCUUUCUCGAGAGAGGGAGCGCCACACGAGGAGCCUGCGCCCGAUUAGCUAGCUGGUGGAGUAACGGUUCACCAGGGCGACGAUCGGUAGCUGGUCUGAGAGGACGAUCAGCCACACUGGGAUUGAGAACGGCCCAGACUCCUACGGGGGGCAGCAGUGAGGAAUUUUCGUCAAUGGGGGCAACCCUGAACGAGCAACGCCGCGUGCAGGAAGAAGGUUUCGGAUCGUAAACUGCCUUUCUCGGGGAAGAGAACGGACGGUACCCGAGGAAUCGACGCCCGGCUAACUACGUGCCAGCAGCCGCGGUAA